UAGGGAAUAUUGGUUAAUGGGGGAAACCCUGACCCAGCAACGCCGCGUGAGUGAAGAAGGCCUUCGGGUUGUAAAGCUCUGUCAUUAGGGAAGAAGAAGUGACGGUACCUAAUGAGGAAGCCCCGGCUAACUACGUGCCAGCAGCCGCGGUAAUACGUAGGGGGCGAGCGUUGUCCGGAAUUACUGGGCGUAAAGGGUGCGUAGGCGGCGUGCUAAGUUGGAUGUGAAAUACCCGGGCUUAACCUGGGGGGUGCAUUCGAUACUGGCAGGCUAGAGUGCAGGAGAGGGAAGCGGAAUUCCUAGUGUAGCGGUGAAAUGCGUAGAUAUUAGGAGGAACACCAGUGGCGAAGGCGGCUUUCUGGACUGUAACUGACGCUGAUGCACGAAAGCGUGGGGAGCAAACAG
This 405-nucleotide ribosomal RNA is filed under the name uncultured bacterium. Its description in RNAcentral is "bacterial SSU rRNA". It matches the Rfam family "Bacterial small subunit ribosomal RNA", at positions 355 to 775 of the family's 1533-position model. The record is from RNAcentral.